CAAUGUGGGCAUUUUUUUUUAAAACAUUUUGAUAAUUUUUGAGUCAUUUGAACAUGUUUUGUGGCAUUUUGACAUAUUUUCAGUCAUUCAGGACACGUUUCAAGUUAAUUAGCAAGUUUUUACGUCAUUUUGAGCACAUUUCAAAUCAUUUUGGACAUUUUAAGUCACUGAGCCAUUUUUGACAUGUUGUUUGAGUCACUUUGAUCAUUUAAUCGUCAUUUAGGACGGAGUCCUUUUUUUUCAUUUUUGAAGUCAUUUUAACUUGUUUCCAGUUAUUUUUGGACAGUUUUAUGACUCAACUCGAGACAUGUAUUCGAUUAUUUUGGACAUUUUUUUGGUACCUUUAGACACAUUUUGAGUGAAAUUCAAACUCGUACCAGGAAACGAAGCAGCGGUUGAACAUGUUGGUGGUCCGGUCGGGCCAGUUUCUGUGUUUAGCUUCAGUCAUGACUCGCCUAAAAAUCUUCUGUCUUUUGGGAGUUUCCUGAAUCUCCACAAAUUCAAAGGUCCAAGUUAACGUGACGCAGCAGGUUGGAACAAACUGAAAUUCUCCUUUAAGAGUUAAAAACAAGCUGCUCUUUUAAAAUCCCAGCCGACCGUAAACACGUUUAAACACGUUUAAGCUCAUCGAACUCUCAGAUUCACCGACUGUUGGUAGAAACUCGGUGUUAUCUGUGAAACCGUCCACGACCUUUAAAUCCGACGUAUGCUGGUAGUUUUUCUAGAUUUGAACUCUUCCUGCUGCAGGUUUAACCUGCAUGGAGCCGGUUUCACUAAACUGUGAGCAGUUUGGUGCCACGAAGUGUUAAAGAUCACGUUAUAUUUGUGUUUUUUGUUUUCUAACUUUUUUUUUCUCGUAACUCCGCUGUCGAAGUGACGUCUAAUCCGUCUCCGUGUGUUUGAGAUUUUCUUUGCUGUGGUUUGAAAAAGACAAAUACGUUUAAUUAAAACUCAGGCACCGACGGUUCAGGAUCUGUUGUUAGCAGACGUUUAUAACCCAAAGACCGAGACGCUGACGUGUGAUAACGCUGUUCAACACGUUCCUCCGUUUAAUUCACUGUUUUUAUGGCUGAAAUAAUAAAGACUGUUCAAACCAAA
Long non-coding RNA from Stegastes partitus (bicolor damselfish), 1098 nucleotides. RefSeq lists it as uncharacterized. The record is from RefSeq and is a predicted model, not a curated record. NCBI's taxonomy places the organism in Eukaryota, Metazoa, Chordata, Actinopteri, Pomacentridae. The transcript is spliced from 2 exons.